CAGCCGCCGCGGUAAUACGAAGGGGGCUAGCGUUGUUCGGAUUUACUGGGCGUAAAGCGCACGUAGGCGGAUCCUUAAGUCAGAGGUGAAAUCCCAAGGCCCAACCUUGGAACUGCCUUUGAUACUGGGGAUCUCGAGUCCGGGAGAGGUGAGUGGAACUGCGAGUGUAGAGGUGAAAUUCGUAGAUAUUCGCAAGAACACCAGUGGCGAAGGCGGCUCACUGGCCCGGUACUGACGCUGAGGUGCGAAAGCGUGGGGAGCAAACAGGAUUAGAUACCCGGGUAGUCCCUGUCUCUUAUAA
Molecule: ribosomal RNA, 301 nt
Filed under: uncultured bacterium
Lineage: Bacteria
Description: partial 16S ribosomal RNA
Rfam family: Bacterial small subunit ribosomal RNA
Source: RNAcentral